CGUAAUUGAAGAGGUUUGGAAAGACCCACCACAGAAGGUAAUAGUCCUGUAUGUUAAACGAGAAGACUUCAGAUAUGAUCCAGAGUACCACGGGACACGUGAAACCCUGGGGGAAGCAGGAGGGACCACCCUCCAAGGCUAAAUACUACCUAGUGACCGAUAGCGUAUAGUACCGUGAGGGAAAGGUGAAAAGAACCCCGGGAGGGG
This 207-nucleotide ribosomal RNA is filed under the name Clostridioides difficile. RNAcentral describes it as "partial 23S ribosomal RNA". It matches the Rfam family "Bacterial large subunit ribosomal RNA", at positions 328 to 536 of the family's 2925-position model. Lineage: Bacteria; Bacillati; Bacillota; Clostridia; Peptostreptococcales; Peptostreptococcaceae. The record is from RNAcentral.